Molecule: ribosomal RNA, 254 nt
Filed under: uncultured prokaryote
Description: partial 16S ribosomal RNA
Rfam family: Bacterial small subunit ribosomal RNA
Source: RNAcentral
UACGGAGGAUGCGAGCGUUAUCCGGAUUUAUUGGGUUUAAAGGGUGCGUAGGCGGCUUUUAAGUCAGCGGUGAAAUUUUGCAGCUUAACUGUAACAGUGCCGUUGAUACUGGGGAGCUAGGAUUUGGUUGCUGUGGGUGGAAUGUGUGGUGUAGCGGUGAGAUGCUUAGAUAUCACACAGAAUAUCAAUUGCGAAAGGCAGCUCACAAAGCCAAGAUUGACGCUGAGGCACGAAAGUGUGGGGAUCAAACAGGA